Vicugna pacos (alpaca) is the source of this 1435-nucleotide non-coding RNA. The record is from RefSeq and is a predicted model, not a curated record. NCBI's taxonomy places the organism in Eukaryota, Metazoa, Chordata, Mammalia, Artiodactyla, Camelidae.
GGCACUGACUUGCAGGCUCAUGGCUGCUCUCUGGGCUGCUCUUUAAGUUGUAAAUGGCCCUGGGGAGGUGGAGCUGCUCUGGACUGUAGGUGGCUGAGUGAACUGCUUUGAAUAGGCUGCCUUCCCAGACAUGAGCUAGAUUUGCGUGACUUUAUGGUGUGGGGAGUGGGGGUUCAGAGGAGGGCUCUGAAAGAACGUUCUGGAAGGGGUUUGGAGCAUGGACGCGUUGGGCAUGUGAGGGCAAGGAAGAAGGGACAAGGUAGGAAAGGUCUCAGUGGUAGGAAAGGCUUCCAGGAGGGAGAAGAGAGGGCACCCAAGGUGCCUCCUGAGAGCCCUCUCCUGCCUGGGGAUUUAUUGUGCGCACCACACCCCUGGACCUCAGGGCUCGCUAUCUCCAGCCUCUCCCCUUCCCUGCGGUGGGUGGGGCAUACCAGCCUGCUAAGGAAAUUCUUGGAAAGAAACCGCAGUGCAACCAUCUAAGACUGGUACUUUUCCACUGCAUGUGUUGAUCUUUGCUUCUAGAACUCCUGGCACGUACACCCCUAUGAUCUCGUAAAGGGCUGGGGCUCUCCGGAGGGACUUUAAGCUUUGGCUGCACCCUGUCACGGUGGCGCUAUGAGUCUGUUGACGUCACCACCUCAAGUUUUUCUCCUCUGACUCAUUCCCCAUCUUCAGUUCUCCUCAGUCUCGUGUCCACCCAUCUUCAGAGAUUUGUGAUGAAGGGAUGUGUGUUUUCACUGUGGCCGACGCUGCCACCUGCCUCCCAAUUUUCCUCUUGUCUUCAGAAACUAGUUAUUUUUACGAAGGAGCAUGCCUCCCUCCAAACCAAUCUGAAAACAAAUAUGGUUUUGGCAUAACGAGCCUGCCUCCUCUAAGGGAACGGCUGCUCAGUCCCAGUAGCUGUCACUUCCUUCACGUGAGUGGGGCAUGUGUUUCCUCUCGUGGUUCCUCUUUGUUUCUCUGCCCUCCUCGCUCUGUGGAAAUGAGCGUGGGCGGGACUCCUCGCUCCAGACCCUGCGUAUCUGAUCCCUCUCAUCUCCCGGAGCCAAUGCGCAGAAAGAAGAUUCUGACCACGUUGUUGUCUUCCUUCAAAAUCUCCUCCAGCAGCUUAAGAUUUUUGCUGCAAGACUAAGGCUGGCUUCCUGUCUGUCAUCCUUAUCAAUGUCUUCUCUUUCUGGGGAACCCAUUCCAGAUUGGCCCAGACUGUCAAACCUUGUUCAGGCACCAGUUAGAAGAGUACUUCUGGGCCCAGGCCACGCUCUGAAAAAUACUUGCUGAGUCUCCCCAGGGAGUCUGGUUGAGGAGGUUAUGGGUCCUUAUCUGCCCAAGAACAGUAGUUCUAAGAAGUUGUUUCUGUGUGUCUUCUGGGAAGAAUUUGUCCUUCAAUAUAUGUGAUUGCAACAUGCUGGUAAAAGUAAAAGAAAAACAAUAAAAC